Molecule: ribosomal RNA, 255 nt
Filed under: uncultured bacterium
Lineage: Bacteria
Description: partial 16S ribosomal RNA
Rfam family: Bacterial small subunit ribosomal RNA
Source: RNAcentral
UACGUAGGGUGCGAGCGUUGCCCGGAUUUACUGGGCGUAAAGGGCGCGUAGGCGGCCACCGCAAGUCGACUGUGAAAUCUCCGGGCUUAACCCGGAACGGUCAGCCGAUACUGCGGGGCUAGAGUGCAGAAGGGGCAACUGGAAUUCUCGGUGUAGCGGUGAAAUGCGUAGAUAUCGAGAGGGAACACCGAUGGCGAAGGCAGCCCCCUGGGCCGACAUUGACGCUCAGGCACGAAAGCGUGGGGAGCAAACAGG